Molecule: long non-coding RNA, 215 nt
Filed under: Gossypium barbadense (sea-island cotton)
Lineage: Eukaryota; Viridiplantae; Streptophyta; Magnoliopsida; Malvales; Malvaceae
Description: long non-coding RNA (GBAR_LNC016526)
Source: RNAcentral
CCUAAUCCCUUUAUUUUCCUUUGUGUUCGCACAAAGUUAGUGCUUGCUUAGUUUCGGUAAGUGUUUCUCUUUGUUUCUAUCAUGAAUCUCUUAACGACUGAAGUGGUAAUGUUUUUUCUCUGCGAUUUGGGCGUAGGGGGAGGCUCGGACAGGUGAAUUCAGUGCUCUCGUGUUAACAAUAUUUAAGUGAAGGGUUAUCAUUGGUAGUAAGUUAG